This 467-nucleotide ribosomal RNA is filed under the name uncultured bacterium. RNAcentral's name for it is "partial 16S ribosomal RNA". It matches the Rfam family "Bacterial small subunit ribosomal RNA", at positions 29 to 507 of the family's 1533-position model. The record is from RNAcentral.
ACGAACGCUGGCGGCGUGCUUAACACAUGCCAGUCGCACGGAAAGGCCCUGCUUUUGUGGGGUGCUCGAGUGGCGAACGGGUGAGUAACACGUGAGUAACCUGCCCUUGACUUUGGGAUAACUUCAGGAAACUGGGGCUAAUACCGGAUAGGAGCUCCUGCUGCAUGGUGGGGGUUGGAAAGUUUCGGCGGUUGGGGAUGGACCCGCGGCUUAUCAGCUUGUUGGUGGGGUAGUGGCUUACCAAGGCUUUGACGGGUAGCCGGCCUGAGAGGGUGACCGGCCACAUUGGGACUGAGAUACGGCCCAGACUCCUACGGGAGGCAGCAGUGGGGAAUAUUGCACAAUGGGCGGAAGCCUGAUGCAGCAACGCCGCGUGCGGGAUGACGGCCUUCGGGUUGUAAACCGCUUUCGCCUGUGACGAAGCGUGAGUGACGGUAAUGGGUAAAGAAGCACCGGCUAACUACGUG